GAUGAACGCUGGCGGCGUGCCUAAUACAUGCAAGUCGAGCGAACAGAUGAGGAGCUUGCUCCUCUGACGUUAGCGGCGGACGGGUGAGUAACACGUGGAUAACCUACCUAUAAGACUGGGAUAACUUCGGGAAACCGGAGCUAAUACCGGGUAAUAUAUUGAACCGCAUGGUUCAAUAGUGAAAGACGGUUUUGCUGUCACCUAUAGAUGGAUCCGCGCCGCAUUAGCUAGUUGGUAAGGUAACGGCUUACCAAGGCAACGAUGCGUAGCCGACCUGAGAGGGUGAUCGGCCACACUGGAACUGAGACACGGUCCAGACUCCUACGGGAGGCAGCAGUAGGGAAUCUUCCGCAAUGGGCGAAAGCCUGACGGAGCAACGCCGCGUGAGUGAUGAAGGUCUUCGGAUCGUAAAACUCUGUUAUUAGGGAAGAACAAAUGUGUAAGUAACUAUGCACGUCUUGACGGUACCUAAUCAGAAAGCCACGGCUAACUACGUG
RNAcentral lists this ribosomal RNA (497 nucleotides) under uncultured bacterium. Its description in RNAcentral is "partial 16S ribosomal RNA". It matches the Rfam family "Bacterial small subunit ribosomal RNA", at positions 28 to 507 of the family's 1533-position model. The record is from RNAcentral.